Molecule: ribosomal RNA, 496 nt
Filed under: uncultured bacterium
Lineage: Bacteria
Description: partial 16S ribosomal RNA
Rfam family: Bacterial small subunit ribosomal RNA
Source: RNAcentral
GAUGAACGCUGGCGGCGUGCCUAAUACAUGCAAGUCGAGCGAACAGACGAGGAGCUUGCUCCUCUGACGUUAGCGGCGGACGGGUGAGUAACACGUGGAUAACCUACCUAUAAGACUGGGAUAACUUCGGGAAACCGGAGCUAAUACCGGAUAAUAUAUUGAACCGCAUGGUUCAAUAGUGAAAGACGGUUUUGCUGUCACUUAUAGAUGGAUCCGCGCCGCAUUAGCUAGUUGGUAAGGUAACGGCUUACCAAGGCAACGAUGCGUAGCCGACCUGAGAGGGUGAUCGGCCACACUGGAUCUGAGACACGGUCCAGACUCCUACGGGAGGCAGCAGUAGGGAAUCUUCCGCAAUGGGCGAAAGCCUGACGGAGCAACGCCGCGUGAGUGAUGAAGGUCUUCGGAUCGUAAAACUCUGUUAUUAGGGAAGAACAAAUGUGUAAGUAACUAUGCACGUCUUGACGGUACCUAAGCAGAAAGCCACGGCUAACUACGU